This 472-nucleotide ribosomal RNA is filed under the name uncultured bacterium. RNAcentral describes it as "partial 16S ribosomal RNA". It matches the Rfam family "Bacterial small subunit ribosomal RNA", at positions 28 to 507 of the family's 1533-position model. The record is from RNAcentral.
GACGAACGCUGGCGGCGUGCUUAACACAUGCAAGUCGAGCGGAAAGGCCCUUCGGGGUACUCGAGCGGCGAACGGGAGAGUAACACGUGAGUAAUCUGCCCCUGGCCUUGGGAUAACUACCGGAAACGGUGGCUAAUACUGGUACCGACAACCGUCUGCAUGGGCUGGUUGUGGAAAGUUUUUUCGGCCAGGGUUGUGCUCGCGGCCUUUCAGCUUGUUGGUGGGGUAAUGGCCUACCAAGGCUUCGACGGGUAGCCGGGCUGGGAGGGUGGACGGCCAGACUGGGACUGAGGCACGGCCGAGACGCCUACGAGAGGCAGCGGUGGGGAAAGUUGGAAAAUGGGCGGAAUCCUGGGCCGGCAGCGGCACGUGAGGGAUGAGGGGGAUGGGGUUGUAAGCGUCUUACAGUGCCGACGAAUCGGAGGUGAUGGUAGUGACGGUAGGUACAGAAGAAGCACCGGCCAACUACGUG